AGGCUAUCGCCGUCUUGUAGCCCUGGUCAGCAGCUGUUGCUCUGAUCAGGAAAAUAGACAUACAGAAAAACGUGGAGCUCAUCUUAAAAAAGCUGAGGCAACUGGUGCAUUAUGUCGGGCCUUAAAACGGCCAACCUACGCAUACUCGCGCGGUGCAGGCAACUCAGUUGCCUGACAUGGUAACUCCGUCGCCAUCCAUCUUGAGCCGAUGAGAGGAGGAGAGAAACUCACCCCGGGAGCUUCGUGAGUGCUAUGACCAUGGCAGAUUGCUUUAAAAUCCUGAUUGACGACCUUCUUGGGUUUUGACACGGUCUGCUCGGACCAGGAGCCCAAAGUAAAGCGCAGCAGGCAUCGCGCCCAUAGGCCGGUCACUUCACUCAGUGGCUGCUACCGCCGACGCGGAUGAAAAGAACCACCAGCCUGGAUCGGAGGCGGGCACAACGAGGAGGAGCUCGACCUGCCCUGACAGCCAGAACGGUACCUCGUCAGCCCGGGAGCUUCGUGAGUGCUAUGACCAUGGCAGAUUGCUUUAAAAUCCUGAUUGACGACCUUCUUGGGUUUUGACACGGUCUGCUCGGACCAGGAGCCCAAAGUAAAGCGCAGCAGGCAUCGCGCCCAUAGGCCGGUCACUUCACUCAGUGGCUGCUACCGCCGACGCGGAUGAAAAGAACCACCAGCCUGGAUCGGAGGCGGGCACAACGAGGAGGAGCUCGACCUGCCCUGACAGCCAGAACGGUACCUCGUCAGCCCCCCCCCCCCCCCUCACCAAAUCACAUGUGACCGGGGAGCUGUGGUUGUGGCAUCGGCAUCCCAUCCCAUCCGGAUGCUGUGGCAUAAAUUGCGUCCGCCGUUUUUUAGUCAGUGGCUUAAGUGGGGAUUGCUCUGUCUCUGUUAUAAAGAGCAGGAGAAGUGGCUCUGCGGGAAGUCCCCCUUUCUAUGUGACUCUCUCUUUUUCUGGACAGGAAUAUCAAUUAUCUAAACGGCAGCUCGAAUCUUAUCAAUUAUCUACCCAUCUCCACACGUGUGUCCUUUGCAGGCAUAUAUUCAAACUGUUUAAACGUGCCACUGAAGCAGACACGUAGGCCCUUCCAUUCCACUGGCCUCGUAACUCAUCCUAAACGAUCUCUAGUUGGGCCACCCAGGGAUUCCGAUUCGAAAACGGACUCACAAUACGUGCACUCGCCACAAUUUGGUUUAUUAUGUGCUCAGAUCCCUACCCUCUUUUCAGAUCUCAGUGCGUUCUACCACGGAGCAGAAGUGGUUGUGGCUUGGGAGACCUCUCAGUCCCCUGAUUAAUGUUGGAUCGUCAUGCCAAAUUAUGCAAAAAGAUUAGCUCUGUUUGUGCGUGUGGGCGAUCCAGAUAUCUAGAUCUAAACGGAGGAUGUGAUACGGAUAUCCUCCUGUCGGGAAACUGAAUUUUCUGGAUAUAUAUUUUAAAAGGAAUAAGAAGGCAAUACAAGGAAUAGUUAGUUAGAUAAUAGUCGCGAUUUUGAUGGAUAUUUGCUUCCCUUUGGGAGUUUGGGACGUAAAAAUAUACAUGGGUUAGCGAGGAAAACCUUCAAGAAAAACUGAUGCAAUCUUCAGGGAUUCCAUUCUUUAUUCUAUAUUCUCCUGCAAAUAUUUCCUCUUCCAAUUUAAUUUCAAAACAAACAAAUAAAUUUAGUUCUUCUGCCCCAGAACCCUUCCCAGACCUCUGAAGAGCCGACCCUUUGGCGGCUGCCCAGGCCCCAAACCCAGACCCCAGACACUUGGACACCCGUUUCUAAUAUUCUUCUCGGAAUCGUUUAGUUCAGUGUAAAAGGGGGGCAGGGUGCACGUAUAUGUAAUUGGAUGGCACGGAAUCGUUGGACACAUUUUGACAAACGGCUUCCUUCGUGACCAAGUGCGAGCCGCGAAAAGUCUUUUGAAAAUUGUUCAAUGCGAAUAUAAAUUUUCAUAUUCUAUUGAAAUUCAUUAUUUUUGUUGGUUAAUUAUUGCAUUAUUCAUGCAGUCGGCACUUUGUUCUGUUCAUUCGCUUGCGGUGAAAUAAUGCCAGCCCCCGCAAUGUAAUACAUAAUUAUUUUCAAAUUGUUUGUGAAACUCCCGCCCCCAGAGGCCGUGUGGGAGAGUGGAGGCGAGGAGGCGUGCCUGCAGCGACAUAUUGAAUAUGAAAAUGCAGUAUAAAUAAA
Drosophila miranda is the source of this 2168-nucleotide long non-coding RNA. RefSeq lists it as uncharacterized. Lineage: Eukaryota; Metazoa; Arthropoda; Insecta; Diptera; Drosophilidae. The record is from RefSeq and is a predicted model, not a curated record. The transcript is spliced from 5 exons.